CCUUUUGUUCUCUCCUGGAGCUGGGACACUCUUCAUCUCCUGAACUUUGGACAUUAGAAUUCCAUUCUCCCUGGCCUUGAGACUCUGAGACUUACACAAGCAGCCCCACCCAGGUUCUCAGGCCUUCGGACUCACAUUGAGAAUUACACCAUCAGCUUCCCUGGUUCUGAUUCUUUAGAACUUGGACUGAGCCACGCUACUAUCAUCCCAGGGUCUCCAGCUUACAAGUGUCCUGCCAUGGGACUUCUCAGCCUCCAUAAUCAUCUGUCACAUUGAAGAAAAGUUGGACUAUGCCACAGCUGGAUUGGGACCAAAUGCACGUCGACGGAGAUACAGUCCUUAACUACAAAUAAAGCAAGUGCUUCAUGAUAAGGAAAGUUGAAGCCUUCCUAUGUGGUUUGGGCUUGUGUCCCUGACCAAAUCUCACGUUGAACUGUAGUCCCCAGUGAUGGAGGAGGGGCCUGGUGGGAGGUGAUGGCAUCAUAGGGAUAGAUGAUACCAAAGCGGCCAACGAGUUUAAAACUCUUUUUGCGCAGUAGGAAUGACUCCAUGAAGAUUUCUCAUCAUGGAGCCCAGACUAGAUGGACCCAAAUCUCCAGACUCCCAGCUCUUCUGUAAACCCCAUCCUGAUUCUCUGAGUCUCUGAAUCUUUUAUCCUCAUUUUCUUCCCAACUGUCCAUAAUGUAGAAUUUAAAUAAAAGAUUAAAUGUAAUCUUUAUAACAUUAUUAUAUUAUUGAACAGUUUCAGGUUUCUUGUUCUUAUUUACAAAAAACUAAUAAGUAGAAAUUUUAUACUUCUCUGAGCAUAAAACUAUACAAAAUAAAAAUUAUAUAAAAUUAAUUUGAUUUUCACUUAUGAGGUCUAUAAUUAUUCCCUUCAUGGUUAAUUAUCCUCAAUAGGAAACAAAUGGUUUCCUACCUUCUUACUAAGUUACAAAACUCUCAUUUAUUAAUAAUCAUUUAUAUUAAUAAUAAUUACUAAAUUGAAUAUGCCAGCUCUUACCAGAUUUAUGCUAGACUUUAAUAAGUCCCUCUCUUCCCAGAAGCAGGAACAAAGUAGAGAUGCAUCAAAUGAGCUAAAUCUAAUCUAAUUUUCCUUAUUGAGACUGGUUCUUAGGACCCUUCUUUCAUACUCUGGAAACUGGGACACACUUGUAAAUAUUAAGU
RNAcentral lists this long non-coding RNA (1167 nucleotides) under Homo sapiens (human). Its description in RNAcentral is "HSALNT0371530". The record is from RNAcentral. Lineage: Eukaryota; Metazoa; Chordata; Mammalia; Primates; Hominidae.